This is a non-coding RNA of Parasteatoda tepidariorum (common house spider), 768 nucleotides long. The record is from RefSeq and is a predicted model, not a curated record. NCBI's taxonomy places the organism in Eukaryota, Metazoa, Arthropoda, Arachnida, Araneae, Theridiidae.
UACAGGAAAUUGUAACUAACUUUCUAGAAAAUUUUUAUGAAUAUCUUUGCGAAAUCUUAUAUUCCAAUUUAAACUUUGUUUUAUAGUAUUUGUGGCAAUGAUACUUUAUUAUGCUAAUAUGCUUGAUUUGAUACUAUAUCAAUAUUCUCAAACCAAUUAAUAUUGCACCUUAGUAUGAGAAAAUCUGUUCACCAGAUUAACAAUUAUUCACAGUGUUCUUUUUAUGCAUUCUCCAUAGUCUUUAUGCUAAUAUAUUCUUUUGCUGAAUUGUUACUAAAUUGUUAGUAUAAAUUUUUUACAGACUUAUUCUGAAGCUUUGUGUGAUUUUUGGAAAAAUUUGUUUUAGCUAAAUGAAAGAAGAAAAGAAAACAUAGUUGUUCAUUUUAAUCCAGUUAACAAAGUGCUUUAAUAUUUUGGAAAGGAAACUGACAGAAUGAUCUUGGUAAAGCAUUAGAAGAACUUAAGAAUACAGAUUUGAAGAAUUGAACACAAAAAAUCGGGAUGAUUUUCAUUUUACUAAGUAUGAUUGGAGAAUGUGCAUUCAACAACAUUGCUUCUACUCCAGAAAUGAAGGUGCCCUCAAUGUAUCAUUUGUAUAUUCCUGAGCAAGAACUAAAGCCACCUAAUAUGUUUCAACCUUCAUUUAGUAGCAAAACUUUGUCAAUAAAAAUGGAUUAGGUGUCUAUCACACUGAUCAACCUUUUAACGAAACUGUUCAACCAUUGUCCAAUCAUCUGCCUCAUAACACUUCUUGGAAGGUUCUCCUAC